Molecule: long non-coding RNA, 1511 nt
Filed under: Calidris pugnax (ruff)
Lineage: Eukaryota; Metazoa; Chordata; Aves; Charadriiformes; Scolopacidae
Description: lncRNA (ENSCPUG00000000488.1)
Source: RNAcentral
AUUCUAUGAUUCUAUGAAGUUUGAUUGAUAUUAUCAGACUUGAAUUCAAAUAUGAGGGCGUAAAAAGCGAGAACGAUGGGUUUGUACUUUCUGCCCUCUGGGCCUCAGGAGCUUGCUUUGAGUUGUAGGACCCAGAGUGCUAGUAUGUAGGUUUAUGCUUUUUCCCUAAACCUUGUUUCUUUCUGCAGGGCACAGUGGGGGGGAUUGUGUUUCUAAUACCCUGAGGAGGAAAAGAUUUUGGAUCUAAACCUUUAGUUCCUAAGAGGUAGAAAUGAGUAUCUUUGAAAAGCAAGACCCAGGCUUGGGCCUCAAAGGAGAGAGUGGUGAGUCUGCAGCCGCGCGGGCUGCAGGGCAAAGGAUAGCCAGCUGCAGGAUCCACUCAGGAGGCUGCACCCACAGGAAGGAAACAAGUCAUGAGACAACCCUCUUGGCCAAAUACUCUGGCUUUAAUUUUUCAUCAUGCUUUUGGCUAUGCCCAGAUCUGAAGUUGGAAAAGCAAAUCGUGCCUUGAUGCUGUUAGAACUACAUCUUCAGGUAGGGUAAUUAAGCUUGUGUAGAAAUGGUAAUUCCUAAAGGGUAUUAGUUUAAAACUUAAGGUGUAUGGCAGGGUUUCUGGAAAUUUUAGUGACAAUAUAGUAUCAAACAAUGUGACACUUCAAGAAUAACUCCAAGAAUAACACUUUAUUAGUAGAAGCUUGAUGUGACAUGAUGAUUGCAGAUACAGUGCUGACAACAAAUUCCUUUGCAUUUUUCAAAUUAGUAAAUCAGUCUACACAAAGAAUGUUUUUAAGCAUGGAUAUAUACAAUAGACAAAUCUGAGUCUUGUACUGUGUGGACAUUUCUUGGAUAACGCUGUAAAAACAUUGCAUUGUUUGGACUGUGAAAUCACAGUGCUUACAAAUAAUCUUUUAUGUCAUCAGUAUCUAUCUGUUCACAUGUCUCUGCACCCCUCCCCAGAUACAAACCAUAUUAGAUAUAGCUGUAAUAUUUACAUGGAAAAGCAAUGUAAGAGUGAUGUAAAAAAAAACAGUACUAUUUUUUAUUGGUCCCAAUGUUUGCAAAAUCAUCUUAAAAACUGCUUAUUUUCCCUUUGCUUCUGUACUGGCUGUUGGCUUGCAGUUGAUGGGCAGAUGUAUUUCAUACAUGGUACCCAUUAGUGAGCAAAGUAGGUCAGAGCUGCUGUGUGUACGUGCAUAUACAUGCUGCAAGUUCACUGAAGCUUUUUGUUGCUGAUUCAGAAAGAAGCAAAAACUUACGGUUACAGUUGUGUGUCCCGCUUCCAGCUCACCCUUAAGGUUAAACUUAACACAAAUACUUGCUUAGCCCUGGUGAAAUCUGCCAGUGCAGCUUCCCUCCAAGAGUCUACUGUGCUGGUUCCUUUCUUCCCUUGCCUUCAGCCUGGGAGGUACAAGCAUUGCCAGCCCAGCAAAGCCACAAGCUUUGAUUCUGCUUCCUGAGACCAGAAGGUGGAGGCCUGUAUUACAAUAUUCUUUGGUUUCAUCUCGUUGGUU